This 787-nucleotide ribosomal RNA is filed under the name uncultured Bacillus sp. RNAcentral's name for it is "bacterial SSU rRNA". It matches the Rfam family "Bacterial small subunit ribosomal RNA", at positions 9 to 777 of the family's 1533-position model. Lineage: Bacteria; Bacillati; Bacillota; Bacilli; Caryophanales; Bacillaceae. The record is from RNAcentral.
GAGUUUGAUCCUGGCUCAGGAUGAACGCUGGCGGCGUGCCUAAUACAUGCAAGUCGAGCGAAUGGAUUGAGAGCUUGCUCUCAAGAAGUUAGCGGCGGACGGGUGAGUAACACGUGGGUAACCUGCCCAUAAGACUGGGAUAACUCCGGGAAACCGGGGCUAAUACCGGAUAACAUUUUGAACCGCAUGGUUCGAAAUUGAAAGGCGGCUUCGGCUGUCACUUAUGGAUGGACCCGCGUCGCAUUAGCUAGUUGGUGAGGUAACGGCUCACCAAGGCAACGAUGCGUAGCCGACCUGAGAGGGUGAUCGGCCACACUGGGACUGAGACACGGCCCAGACUCCUACGGGAGGCAGCAGUAGGGAAUCUUCCGCAAUGGACGAAAGUCUGACGGAGCAACGCCUCGUGAGUGAUGAAGGCUUUCGGGUCGUAAAACUCUGUUGUUAGGGAAGAACAAGUGCUAGUUGAAUAAGCUGGCACCUUGACGGUACCUAACCAGAAAGCCACGGCUAACUACGUGCCAGCAGCCGCGGUAAAUACGUAGGUGGCCAAGCGUUAUCCGGAAUUAUUGGGCGUAAAGCGCGCGCAGGUGGUUUCUUAAGUCUGAUGUGAAAGCCCACGCUCAACCGUGGUAGGUCUUUGGGAAACUGGGAGACUUGUAUGCAGAAGAAGAAAGUGGAAUUCCUUUUUAUCGGUGAAAUGCGUUAUGGUUUGGAGGAAACACCAUUGCUAAGGCGACUUUUGGCCUUUACUUUCACUGUGGCGCGUAACCUGGGGAGCCAAACAGCU